Setaria italica (foxtail millet) is the source of this 205-nucleotide long non-coding RNA. RefSeq lists it as uncharacterized. Lineage: Eukaryota; Viridiplantae; Streptophyta; Magnoliopsida; Poales; Poaceae. The transcript has 3 exons. The record is from RefSeq and is a predicted model, not a curated record.
UUAUCCUAAGCCACUUGUGCAGCUCUGGAAGGAAUGCACUGCAGUCAACUGUGCAAAAGCUUCAUCUUCAGGGCAGCCAUCAUCAUCACAAGAAAAACAGCCUAGAAACUCGACACCUCAUGAAUUUCCACCUCAGACUGAAGGAGAAUAUGAGAUGGAAACAGGACCUCACCCAAUGGACUUCACAGAUGGCAUUGAAAAAGAG